RNAcentral lists this long non-coding RNA (1004 nucleotides) under Gallus gallus (chicken). The record is from RNAcentral. Lineage: Eukaryota; Metazoa; Chordata; Aves; Galliformes; Phasianidae.
AAGACACAAAGUGCAGAGAGACGGGGUAACAUUUACAUGAGAAACAAUCCGCUCUCCAGCACCCACCCACGGCACUUCCCCUCGUUUCAGGAGCUGUUGGAGUGCAGGAAGGGAACGGUUCCUGGCAGAGGGACAGCACUGCGAGGAGGCCGACGCGUUUCCAGGGCCGGAGAGAACGCGUGUGCUGCAGUCGCCAGAGGAGUGAUGGGGGCUUUCAAGGGUGUGUGAUGGGGGUGCCACCACAGCCACGCAGCUGCCAGAGGGCAGUGGAAACGUGGAGGAGGAAAAUUAAGCUGUGAACUGGAAUUCCAUCAGGCUGUCUGCCGUGAAGCCCUGCGGCUUUAGCAAACAGGCAGCAGUGGUCAGAAAUGACACUCAAAAGAACUGUCUGCAUUAAUAACAAGUACCUCCACUUGGAAAUUAUUUACAUGAAACAUUGUUCUCACAUCACUGCUACUGACAGCGGCUCCGGACUGGGUGAGAGAAGGACACCGUGAUGAAUUUACCCAUACCUACCUUACUGUGCUGCGUGAGACGAGGAGAGCUCAAAGACUUCAGAGAAGUUUGAAACCUUAAUCCCUGAAUAAUGCCUCCACCUGCCUCCUGGUUUUCUUUGGGGACUUUCCAGCGCUGGCCAGUCCUGACCCUAUCUGACUUCAGGGACAAUCCCAGUGUCUUGGGCUCCGAAAAAAGAGUGAAACAGUGACUGGAAAUGAGCUGGAGAGAGCAGAAGCAGUAAAUAGUUGUUUUUGUCACUUGAGUCAGCACAUAUAAUUCUUCACACACACAGGAACUAUCUUCGCCGUGGAAGAAAAUACCAUUUGCACAAUAACUUUUCACAGUGGAACUGUGCCUUAAAUCAAACAAGCAAGUACUGAGUCACCUCUGCAGCACAGCAACAACAAUUUGAUCUGCUACGUGGCAAGCUUUGGUUUGAAGAUACUAAACAAUUCCUCAUCCCAGGCCUGGGGCUUGCCUGGAAAAAACAAUGAACAAGAGAUGUG